RNAcentral lists this small RNA (125 nucleotides) under Marmota monax (woodchuck). Lineage: Eukaryota; Metazoa; Chordata; Mammalia; Rodentia; Sciuridae. The record is from RNAcentral.
GCUGGGCACAGUGGUACAUGCCUGUAAUCCCAGUGACUUGGGAGGCUGAGGCAGGAGGAUCAUGAGUUUAAAGCCAGCCUCAGCAAUGGUGAGGUGCUAAGCAAUUCAGUGAGACCCUGUCUCUA